Molecule: ribosomal RNA, 497 nt
Filed under: uncultured bacterium
Lineage: Bacteria
Description: partial 16S ribosomal RNA
Rfam family: Bacterial small subunit ribosomal RNA
Source: RNAcentral
GAUGAACGCUGGCGGCGUGCCUAAUACAUGCAAGUAGAACGCUGAAGGAAGGAGCUUGCUCUUUCCGGGUGAGUUGCGAACGGGUGAGUAACGCGUAGGUAACCUGCCUGGUAGCGGGGGAUAACUAUGGGAAGCGAUAGCUAAUACCGCAUAACAGUAGAUGUUGCAUGAUACCUACUUAAAAGGUGCAAUUGCACCACGACCAGAUGGACCUGCGUUGUAUUAGCUAGGUGGUGAGGUAACGGCUCACCAAGGCGACGAUACAUAGCCGACCCGGGAGGGUGGUCCGCCACACCUGGACCGAGACACCGCCCAGACUCCUUCGGGAGGCAGCCGUAGGGGAUCUUCGGCCAUGGGCGGAAGUCUUACCGCGCCACGCCGCGGGAGUGAAGGAGGUUUUCGGAGCGUAAAGCUCUGUUGUUAGAGAAGAACGAGUGUGAGGGUGGAAAGUUCACGUUGUGACGGUACCUUACCAGAAAGCGCCGGCUAACUACGUG